UUAAGUCAAUAAAUAUUGACUAUAUAUUUAUUGUAUAUAAAGUAGCAUGUUAGACAAUAUUGAUUUACUUUUUAUAUAGUAAAGGUUAAUUGCAAAUGAAAGAUUAAAUUUAAAUUGUUUGCUUUCUACAUUUGAUAAGACUGUUACUUAAUAAUAGUGACAAAAUUUUCAUUCUCACUUUUGUUUUCUGUGUAAGACAUAAUUCCUAGUUUAAACAGGGGUCCCCAAGCUCUGGGUGGCCCAGCAGGUGAGCAGCAGGAAAGCCAACAACACUUCAUAUGUGUUUUCAGCUGCUCCCCAUCGCUCACAUUACCACCUGAGCUCUGCCUCCUGUCAGAUCAGCGGUGGCAUUAGAUUCUCGUAGGAGACCCCAGAUGGGACCAUCUAGUGGCAGGAAAACAAGCUCAGGGCUCCUGUUGAUUCUGCAUUAUGGCCUCCAGUGGGAGACUCAACCACAUUCAGCCCUGUGGGAACUGGACACCUUAAACACCACACCACCUGAUGGCUCCUCACCUUUUUUAUUUUUUUAGGUCAUGCACUGAGCACCUUGAAUUUCCUUUUCUAAAGGUCAAAUCUGCUUCCAGAUUCUGCACAGUCCUCUUCCCAAGUUUUGUCCUGAGAAAUGGCCAGAGGGUGACCAUAUUAAGGGCAUUAGAAAAGGGUUGUGCAAAAAGGCUGGGGUAUCCUCUCACAUCAGGGUCAAAAGAUGUCAGUGUGAUCCUUCCAAGACAGAAAUGUUUUCUCUGGACUCAAAAUGCAUUCUGUCCACAUUGAUCACAGCAAUAACGGGGCUCAAUUGUUACAUAAAACAAUUUUGUUCAAGUACUUUUUCUGAGGUCUUCUAUCUAUAGAUUAUAAAAGAAGAAACAAAAACUAUGAACCCAGAUUUUGAAAUUAGAGAUUUUUUUUUUUUUUUAUCAGCCGUCUGCUUAACAUAAAGUACCGUCCCAUUCCGAGUUUUAGUGUUCUACUGAGGGAUGCUCACACACAAGUAAUGUAGUCAAAACAUAAGCACGUUUUGACAUGGCCCCUGAGAAGUAAUGACUACAACUCCGGAUGUGCAAUGCUGAGUCAACUUGUGGGCCUCUCCAGGUUUUCAGUCUAAUUAGUUGUAAAUAAAGAACGAAUACAGAGAUUCUACCAAGAACGAACGGUGAUCGAAAUAAACAAGCUAUUAUGGCCCAAUGCGUGACGCAUUCAUCUUGCGAUGUGUGACAACGUGAAUGCCCAGAGAAUUCCUGCUUCGCUUAUUCAGUGCACAAGACCUCUCGGCUAACCAAGGUAAAUUUUCAUUAAGAAGUCCGAGUACAUUUACUUCCUCUUUGCUCCACGUCACACCUGUUUAAGGGUGAGUACUUCCCAGGUCUUGUCCUCAGAGCUGCGUCCCAGCGCUCAUCACAUGCCAGGUGCCAGCCUCAAUCCGCACCAGCAGGAACGAGCAAUUUGAUUCUAGCCAUCUCCCACAGAGAGGCACCUAGCGGAGGCGGGGAGCUCGCGAGAAAGGCCGGCCCAACCGAGAUCCAGGGUCAGGAGGCGGGGCCGAGGGAGGAGGAAGUCUCGCCUCAGCGCAUACGUCCUCGCGAGAGCGCUAGAAUUCGGCCGGGGAAGCGCGUGCAGAAGAGGAGGUGCCCUACGUUGGACUCGUCGGCCGCCGUAGCCCCUGCUAGGCCAGCCCGGACCAGCCUACUGG
This is a long non-coding RNA of Tupaia belangeri chinensis (Chinese tree shrew), 1690 nucleotides long. RefSeq lists it as uncharacterized. Lineage: Eukaryota; Metazoa; Chordata; Mammalia; Scandentia; Tupaiidae. The record is from RefSeq and is a predicted model, not a curated record. The transcript is spliced from 3 exons.